GUUUACAUACACCUUAGCCAAAAACAUUUAAACUCAGUUUCACAAUUCCUGACAUUUAAUCCUAGUAAAAAUUCCCUGUCUUAGGUCAGUUAGGAUCACCACUUUAUUUUAAAAAUGUGACAUGUCAGAAUAAUAGUAGAGAAAAUUAUUUCUUUCAGAUUUUAUUUCUUUCAUCACAUUCUCAGUAGGUCAGAAGUUUACAUACACUCAAUUAGUAUUUGGUAGCAUUGCCUUUACAUUGUUUACUCGGGUCAAACGUUUCGUGUAGCCUUCCACAAGCUUCCCACAAUUAGUUGGGUGAAUUUUGGCCCAUUCCUCCUGACAGAGCUGGUGUAACUGAGUCAGGUUUGUAGGCCUCCUUGUUCACACACACUUUUCAGUUCUGCCUACACAUUUUCUAAAGGAUUGAGAUCCGGACUUUGUGAUGGCCACUCCAAUACCGUGACUUUGUUGUCCUUAAGCCAUUUUGUCACAACUUUGGAAGUAUGCUUGGGCUCAUUGUCACUUUGGAAGACCCAUUUGCGACCAAGCUUUAACUUCCUGAUUGAUGUCUUGAGAUGUUGCUUCAAUAUAUCCACAAAAUGUUCUUCCUCAUGAUGCCAUCUAUUCUGUGAAGUGCACCAGUCCCUCAUGCAGAAAAGCACCCCCACAACAUGAUGCUGCCACCCCCAUGCUCCAUGGUUGGGACGGUGUUCUUCGGCUUGCAAGCCUCCCCCUUUUUAGUCCAAACAUAACAAUGGUCAUUAUGGCCAAACAGUUCUAUUUUUGUUUCAUCAGACCAGAGGACAUUUCUCCAAAAAGUACAAUCUUUGUCCCCAUGUGCAGUUGCAAACCGUAGUCAGGCUUUUUUUAAUGGCGGUUUUGGAGCAGUGGCUUCUUCCUUGCUGAGCGGCCUUUCAGGUUAUGUUGAUAUAGGACUCGUUUUACUGUGGAUAUAGAUACUUUUGUACCCGUUUCCUCCAGCAUCUUCACAAGGUCCUUUGCUGUUGUUCUGGGAUUGAUUUGCACUUUUCGCACCAAAGUACGUUCAUCUCUAGGAGACAGAACGCGUCUCCUUCCUGAGCAGUAUGAUGGCUGCGUGGUCCCAUGGUGUUUAAACUUGCGUACUAUUGUUUGUACAGAUGAACCUUCAGGCGUUUGGAAAUUGCUCCCAAGGAUGAACCAGACUUGUGAAGGCCUACAACAUCAAUACAUCCACAGGUACACCUCCAAUUGACUCAAAUGAUGUCAAUUAGGCUAUCAGAAGCUUCUAAAGCCAUGACAUCAUUUUCUGGAAUUUUCCAAGCUGUUUAAAGGCACAGUCAACUUAGUGUAUGCUAACUUCUGACCCACUGGAAUUGUGAUAAAGUGAAUUAUAAGUGAAAUAAUCUGUCUGUGAACAAUUGUUGUAAAAAUGAUGUGUGUCAUGCACAAAGUAGAUUUCCUAACCGACUUGCCCAUACUAUAGUUUGUUAAAAAGAAAUUUGUGGAGUGGUUGAAAAACGAGUUUUAAUGACUCCAACCUAAGUGUAUGUAAACUUCCGACUUCAACUGUAUUCAUUGUGAAAAACAACACAAAAAUACAUUGCCAGUAGAAAAAUCAUUGGAAUUAGCAUUAAAACACAUUCCUCUCCCUCUCUUCCUCUCCCCCAAUUUCCAUCCGUCCCCCCUUUCACCCCAAAUGCUCUUCCACGUACUUCCAGGUGGAUCUUUCCAUCUGUACAGAGUGUUUAUUAACAGCCCAUGGCUCUGGCAUCUGACAAAUUAUCUGUCCAUCAGAGUACCAACAAAUAUCUUCCUUUGGACUUGGCCAGAAGAAUUUGUUGAUGCCAUUCAGGUGCAUGCACUUCACCUUAAUGUUAUGUUCCUCUACAUCUAUGAUGAUGCCAGGGUAUCCUUCAUGGUCAUAAUUGACAACACACCACUCCCCUACGUGAUUAAGUUCAAUGGUUCCAGGUCGCCAUGUGGUGUCAGCCUCGUCAUGAGAUGUAGGGAGCUGGUUAGAUGCUGCAGGGUCACCCAGAGUUGCCUCUUUGAGCUGAAAACAAGGACAGUCCAACAUGCCACUAUCCUUCUGCACAGACAAGUAUUUUAUCUGGCCUGGUGAGACACUGAUAACCUGAUUAAUCUUCAUCGUUCCUUUAAUGGCAUCUAAGGCAGGCAUCCGAGGUGAGAAGAGAUAGCAUAUGACCUAUCUGCUGCCUUUGAUACCGUGAACCAUCAGAUCCUCCUCUCCACCCUCUCCGAGCUGGGCAUCUCCGGCACCGCGCACGCUUGGAUUGCGUCCUACCUGACAGGUCGCUCCUACCAGGUGGCGUGGCGAGAAUCUGUCUCCGCACCACGUGCUCUCACCACUGGUGUCCC
Molecule: long non-coding RNA, 2343 nt
Filed under: Salmo salar (Atlantic salmon)
Lineage: Eukaryota; Metazoa; Chordata; Actinopteri; Salmoniformes; Salmonidae
Description: lncRNA (ENSSSAG00000090385.1)
Source: RNAcentral